Molecule: ribosomal RNA, 236 nt
Filed under: uncultured bacterium
Lineage: Bacteria
Description: partial 16S ribosomal RNA
Rfam family: Bacterial small subunit ribosomal RNA
Source: RNAcentral
CGGGACGGGUGAGUAACGCGUGGGUAACCUACCCUGUGCACACGGAUAACAUACCGAAAGGUAUGCUAAUACGGGAUAAUAUAUUUGAGAGGCAUCUCUUGAAUAUCAAAGGUGAGCCAGUACAGGAUGGACCCGCGUCUGAUUAGCUAGUUGGUAAGGUAACGGCUUACCAAGGCGACGAUCAGUAGCCGACCUGAGAGGGUGAUCGGCCACAUUGGAACUGAGACACGGUCCAA